CCUACGGGGGGCUGCAGUGGGGAAUAUUGCACAAUGGGCGAAAGCCUGAUGCAGCAACGCCGCGUGAAGGAAGAAGGCUUUCGGUUUGUAAACUUCUGUCCUUGGGGAAGAAGAUCUGACGGUACCCAAGGAGGAAGCCCCGGCUAACUACGCGCCAGCAGCCGCGGUAAUACGGAGGGUGCAAGCGUUACUCGGAAUCACUGGGCGUAAAGAGCGCGUAGGCGGGAUAGCAAGUCAGAUGUGAAAUCCGAUGGCUUAACCAUAGGACUGCAUUUGAAACUGUUAUUCUAGAGUAUGGGAGAGGUAGGUGGAAUUCUUGGUGUAGGGGUAAAAUGCGUAGAGAUCAAGAGGAAUACUCAUUGCGAAGGCGACCUGCUAGAACAUAACUGACGCUGAUGCGCUAAAGCGUGGGGAGCAAACAGGAUUAGAUACCCUUGUAGUC
Molecule: ribosomal RNA, 442 nt
Filed under: uncultured bacterium
Lineage: Bacteria
Description: partial 16S ribosomal RNA
Rfam family: Bacterial small subunit ribosomal RNA
Source: RNAcentral